UACGUGGGGGGCAAGCGUUGUCCGGAUUUAUUGGGCGUAAAGAGCGUGUAGGCGGCCUGGUAGGUCAGCUGUGAAAACUCGAGGCUCAACCUCGAGACGCCGGUUGGAACCAUCAGGCUAGAGUCCGGAAGAGGAGAGUGGAAUUCCCGGUGUAGCGGUGAAAUGCGCAGAUAUCGGGAAGAACACCCGUGGCUAAGGCGGCUCUCUAGUACGGUACUGACGCUGAGACGCGAAAGCGUGGGGAGCGAACAGG
Molecule: ribosomal RNA, 253 nt
Filed under: uncultured bacterium
Lineage: Bacteria
Description: partial 16S ribosomal RNA
Rfam family: Bacterial small subunit ribosomal RNA
Source: RNAcentral